This 332-nucleotide ribosomal RNA is filed under the name uncultured bacterium. Its description in RNAcentral is "bacterial SSU rRNA". It matches the Rfam family "Bacterial small subunit ribosomal RNA", at positions 568 to 898 of the family's 1533-position model. The record is from RNAcentral.
CGUGUAGGCGGUUAUGUAAGUCAGAUGUGAAAUCCUUCCGCUUAACGGAAGAAGUGCAUUUGAAACUGCAUGACUGGAGUACGGGAGAGGAGAGUGGAAUUCCCGGUGUAGAGGUGAAAUUCGUAGAUAUCGGGAGGAACACCAGUGGCGAAGGCGGCUCUCUGGCCUGAUACUGACGCUGAGACGCGAAAGCGUGGGGAGCAAACAGGAUUAGAUACCCUGGUAGUCCACGCCGUAAACGAUGGGCACUAGGUGUAGGAGGUAUUGACCCCUUCUGUGCCGAAGCUAACGCAUUAAGUGCCCCGCCUGGGGAGUACGGCCGCAAGGUUAAA